Molecule: ribosomal RNA, 327 nt
Filed under: uncultured eukaryote
Lineage: Eukaryota
Description: partial 18S ribosomal RNA
Rfam family: Eukaryotic small subunit ribosomal RNA
Source: RNAcentral
CCCUUAGAUGUUCUGGGCCGUACACGCGCUACACUGAAGGAGGCAGCGUGUACUCCUGGAUCGAAAGAUUUGGGUAACCCGCGAAUCUCCUUCGUGCUAGGGAUUGAGGUUUGCAAUUAUCCUUCAUGAACGAGGAAUUCCCAGUAAGUGCAAGUCAUAAGCUUGCGCUGACUACGUCCCUGCCCUUUGUACACACCGCCCGUCGCUACUACCGAUUGAAUGAUUUAGUGAGGACUUCGGACUGGGACCGAUGCGGCUUUCGGGCUGCGUCGGUAUUCUGGAAAGAUGUCCAAACUGUAUCAUUUAGAGGAAGUAAAAGUCGUAACA